GCUUUCCUACGGGAGGCAGCAGUGAGGAAUAUUGGUCAAUGGUCGGGAGACUGAACCAGCCACGCCGCGUGAGGGAUGAAGGUACAGAGUAUCGUAAACCUCUUUUGUCAGGGAACAAAGGCGGGGACGCGUCCCCGGAUGAGUGUACCUGAAGAAAAAGCAUCGGCUAACUCCGUGCCAGCAGCCGCGGUAAUACGGAGGAUGCGGGCGUUAUCCGGAUUUAUUGGGUUUAAAGGGUGCGC
This 242-nucleotide ribosomal RNA is filed under the name uncultured bacterium. RNAcentral describes it as "partial 16S ribosomal RNA". It matches the Rfam family "Bacterial small subunit ribosomal RNA", at positions 333 to 572 of the family's 1533-position model. The record is from RNAcentral.